Molecule: ribosomal RNA, 433 nt
Filed under: uncultured bacterium
Lineage: Bacteria
Description: partial 16S ribosomal RNA
Rfam family: Bacterial small subunit ribosomal RNA
Source: RNAcentral
AACGAACGUUGGCGGCCUGCCUAACACAUGCCACUCGAACGAGACCUUCGGGUCUAGUGGCGCACGGGUGCGUAACGCGUGGGAACCUGCCCUUAGGUUCGGACUAACUCCCCGAAAGGGGUGCUAAUACCGGACAAUGUCUUCGGACCAAAGAUUUAUCGCCUUUGGAUGGGUCCGCGUUGGAUUAGCUAGUUGGUAGGGUAAAAGCCUACCAAGGCGACGAUCCAUAGCUGGUCUGAGAGGAUGAUCAGCCACACUGGGACUGAGACACGGCCCAGACUCCUACGGGAGGCAGCAGUGGGGAAUAUUGGACAAUGGGCGAAAGCCUGAUCCAGCAAUGCCGCGUGAGUGAUGAAGGCCUUAGGGUUGUAAAGCUCUUUUACCCGGGAUGAUAAUGACAGUACCGGGAGAAUAAGCUCCGGCUAACUCCGUG